RNAcentral lists this ribosomal RNA (440 nucleotides) under uncultured bacterium. RNAcentral's name for it is "partial 16S ribosomal RNA". It matches the Rfam family "Bacterial small subunit ribosomal RNA", at positions 338 to 795 of the family's 1533-position model. The record is from RNAcentral.
CCUACGGGAGGCAGCAGUGGGGAAUAUUGCACAAUGGGGGAAACCCUGAUGCAGCGACGCCGCGUGAGUGAAGAAGGAAUUCGGUAUGUAAAGCUCUAUUAGCAGGGAAGAAAAUGACGGUAUCUGAGUAAGAAGCCCCGGCUAACUACGUGCCAGCAGCCGCGGUAAUACGUAGGGGGCAAGCGUUAUCCGGAUUUACUGGGUGUAAAGGGAGCGUAGACGGGAGUGCAAGUCUGGAGUGAAAGGCGGGGGCUCAACCCUCGGACUGCAUUGGAAACUGUACGGCUAGAGUGCAGGAGAGGUAAGUGGAAUUCGUGGUGUAGCGGUGAAAUGCGUAGAUAUUAGGAGGAAUACCAGUGGCGAAGGCGGCUUACUGGACUGUAACUGACGUUGAGGCUCGAAAGCGUGGGGAGCAAACAGGAUUAGAUACCCCUGUAGUC